GUUGGCAUGACACGGGUUAUGUUCUUCUCAUAUAUGUUAUGAUGGUAUGAUACUAAACCCCUAACGGGAAGGAUUGUGCCUGAUGUUCAUAUGAUGAAAUCAUAAUCUUUCAGUCAGUUUAAUUGAAGUCUGGAGCUGGCAUGUCAGUUAACUUGCUAGUAGUCUGUUGUUAUUUAUGUAUUAUUGUCAUUUUGUUUAUUUUCUUUGGUUACAUCUUCUGACAUCAAACUCGCAC
Molecule: long non-coding RNA, 235 nt
Filed under: Mytilus galloprovincialis (Mediterranean mussel)
Lineage: Eukaryota; Metazoa; Mollusca; Bivalvia; Mytilida; Mytilidae
Source: RNAcentral